GCUAUUAUAGGUAUGAUGCCUGUUUCUAUGCAUGCAGAACUUGUUGAGCGACACAGCGCAUUCGUCAGUGUCGGAGAAAGUGGAAACUUAGGCGAACGCUGAAGCAAAGGUUGAAGAUAUGCGUUCAUACAUUGUCUUCUGUUUCAUAUUCAUGACAUGUGGUGGAGUAAUCUUCGGGAAUGCAUCAAAUAAUAAUUCUAAUAAGUCGGCUCAGGGAGGAAGCAUCACGAACACUAUCCUCGUGCAUCGCCCAGAACAUCACAACAGCAGCGGCAGUAGUAAUGAGACUGGACACGCAGAUUUUGAGAUGAAGGUAGGCAAGCUUGCAAAGCUGUUGCGAAAUAGGAAUGAAGAAUGAAACUGGAUGAGAUAGGCACGAAGUAGUAAAGUCUUUGACACAGUAAGUCAGCAAUGUAUUGUUGCCUUGGUCACCCUGGGCUCAAAAGUAUGCUGCUAGAUUGCCUGUAAUAAACCAUAUUAUAUUGCUGCUAGCA
This is a long non-coding RNA of Dermacentor albipictus, 494 nucleotides long. RefSeq lists it as uncharacterized. The record is from RefSeq and is a predicted model, not a curated record. Lineage: Eukaryota; Metazoa; Arthropoda; Arachnida; Ixodida; Ixodidae.